GAUGAACGCUGGCGGCGUGCCUAAUACAUGCAAGUCGAGCGAACAGAUGAGGAGCUUGCUCCUCUGACGUUAGCGGCGGACGGGUGAGUAACACGUGGAUAACCUACCUAUAAGACUGGGAUAACUUCGGGAAACCGGAGAUACUACCGGAUAAUAUAUUGAACCGCAUGGUUCAAUAGUGAAAGACGGUUUUGCUGUCACUUAUAGCUGGAUCCGCGCCGCAUUAGCUAGUUGGUAAGGUAACGGCUUACCAAGGCGACGAUGCGUAGCCGACCUGAGAGGGUGAUCGGCCACACUGGAACUGAGACACGGUCCAGACUCCUACGGGAGGCAGCAGUAGGGAAUCUUCCGCAAUGGGCGAAAGCCUGACGGAGCAACGCCGCGUGAGUGAUGAAGGUCUUCGGAUCGUAAAACUCUUUUAUUAGGGAAGAACAAAUGUGUAAGUAACUAUGCACGUCUUGACGGUACCUAAUCAGAAAGCCACGGCUAACUACGUG
Molecule: ribosomal RNA, 497 nt
Filed under: uncultured bacterium
Lineage: Bacteria
Description: partial 16S ribosomal RNA
Rfam family: Bacterial small subunit ribosomal RNA
Source: RNAcentral